This 467-nucleotide ribosomal RNA is filed under the name uncultured bacterium. RNAcentral describes it as "partial 16S ribosomal RNA". It matches the Rfam family "Bacterial small subunit ribosomal RNA", at positions 28 to 507 of the family's 1533-position model. The record is from RNAcentral.
GAUGAACGCUGGCUGCGCUCCUAACACAUGCAAGUCGAACGAUUAAAGCACCUUCGGGUGUGUAUAAAGUGGCGAACGGCUGAGUAACACGUGGGCAACCUGCCCCUCUCAUUGGGAUAGCCACUGGAAACCGUGGAUAAUACCGAAUACUUCGGGACUUCCGCAUGGAAGACUCGAGAAAGCUCCGGCGGAGAGGGAUUGGCCCGCGGCCUGUUAGCUUGUUGGUGGGGUAAUGGCCUACCAAGGCAAUGAUGGGUAGCUGGGUUGAGAGACCGACCAGCCAGAUUGGGACUGAGACACGGCCCAGACUCCUACGGGAGGCAGCAGUGGGGAAUCUUGCACAAUGGGCGAAAGCCUGAUGCAGCGACGCCGAGUGCGGGAUGAAGGCCUUCGGGUUGUAAACCGCUUUCAGCAGGGACGAGGCGAAAGUGACGGUACCUGCAGAAGAAGCCCCGGCUAACUACGUG